CAAAGAACUUUGAAGAGAGAGUUCAAGAGGGCGUGAAACUGCUUAGAAGGAAACAGGCAGAGCUGAUGAUAGCCAGCAAGAGUCAACCUACAGUAAUUGGGCUGCAUACAGUAAGGGACUGAUUGCCCACUGCUUGCUUCCCUUUCAUGGUUGGUGCAUUUCUUGCUGGUGAGCACUGAGCACUUCAAAUAUGCAUUCUGAAAGCUAAGGUGCCGGCCCCUUUGGGGGUGUCCCACUGAGCUGGAAGCUUGUCAUUGCUGCUGUAUGAAGGUGUCAGUAACUCUGAACCCUUGCUCACUUGCUGAGAAUUUGUUAUGUGUGCUUGCACACCUAGCUCUACUUUGGCUUGAUUUGUGAGGAACCUGAAUGACACUGUGCUUUGUGUAAAAGUCAGCAACCUGCCUGACCCGUCUUGAAACACGGACCAAGGAGUCUAACAUGUGCGCAAGUCAAUGGGUGGUAAACCCAGAGGCACAAUGAAAGUGAAAGCUCACUUGAGGAGCAGAUACACAAUAUCAGCUUGCUGAACACAGUGUUGCCCCGUCUUGUCUGCAUUGUCAGAGGGGCGGAGGCAGAGCGUAUAUGUUGGGACCCGAAAGAUGGUGAACUAUGCCUGAGCAGGAUGAAGCCAGAGGAAACUCUGGUGGAGGUCCGAAACAGUUCUGACGUGCAAAUCGAUUGUCAGACUUGGGUAUAGGGGCGAAAGACUAAUCGAACCAUC
RNAcentral lists this ribosomal RNA (721 nucleotides) under Paracomesoma lissum. RNAcentral's name for it is "eukaryotic LSU rRNA". It matches the Rfam family "Eukaryotic large subunit ribosomal RNA", at positions 367 to 944 of the family's 3401-position model. The record is from RNAcentral. Lineage: Eukaryota; Metazoa; Nematoda; Chromadorea; Araeolaimida; Comesomatidae.